GUGGGGAAUCUUAGACAAUGGGCGCAAGCCUGAUCUAGCCAUGCCGCGUGAGUGAUGAAGGCCCUAGGGUUGUAAAGCUCUUUCAGCUGGGAAGAUAAUGACGGUACCAGCAGAAGAAGCCCCGGCUAACUCCGUGCCAGCAGCCGCGGUAAUACGGAGGGGGCUAGCGUUGUUCGGAAUUACUGGGCGUAAAGCGCGCGUAGGCGGACUGAAAAGUUGGGGGUGAAAUCCCGGGGCUCAACCUCGGAACUGCCUUCAAAACUAUCAGUCUGGAGUUCGAGAGAGGUGAGUGGAAUUCCGAGUGUAGAGGUGAAAUUCGUAGAGAUUCGGAGGAACACCAGUGGCGAAGGCGGCUCACUGGCUCGAUACUGACGCUGAGGUGCGAAAGCGUGGGGAGCAAACAGGAUUAGAAACCCUAGUAGUCC
Molecule: ribosomal RNA, 425 nt
Filed under: uncultured bacterium
Lineage: Bacteria
Description: partial 16S ribosomal RNA
Rfam family: Bacterial small subunit ribosomal RNA
Source: RNAcentral